AAUACAUUGUAUAUACUAUUCCCAGAUUAGUGCAGCUAGAGACCUAGGUUUUGGUUCUGACAGUUCCCAUGAUUUGUGUCCUUGGGCAUGUCAUUUAAUCUUUCAUGUCUGACUCCUCACUGUUACAGUUUAGCUCCUCAUUAUCACUUUUAUCACUUGCUGGAUCUAUUGCAAAUGGCAUCCUAAUGAUUCUACCCCCCUCCUCAUUUUUUAAAUUGUUUUUUCUUCUCUCCUUUUUAUUCCUUUUAGAGUAAUUGUUAAAAACACACACACAUCUGCUCACAUUAUUCACCUUCUUCAAGUCCUGCCAAGUUUCUCCAUUGGCUAGUAUAGGUCUCCAAAAUGGGGAAUGGCCAUCUAUAGAAAACUACUUCCAGGUAUAUUUGAGAAGCUGAGAAUGGUUGAUAGACUUGAUAAGAAGCGAAGGAAGUCAGUGACGAGGAAAUUUGAUUUGGCACCCUUACUGUUCAGGAGCUAGCCAGAUUGCUGCUGUCAUGCGCCUACCUCUUGCAAUUCUGUUUUAUAUGUUUCCUCUCUGUGGUGGGUAAGAUAUGUCACUAACUGAGCCAUAGCUGUAACUGAAAUG
This is a long non-coding RNA of Molossus molossus (Pallas's mastiff bat), 586 nucleotides long. RefSeq lists it as uncharacterized. The transcript is spliced from 3 exons. The record is from RefSeq and is a predicted model, not a curated record. Lineage: Eukaryota; Metazoa; Chordata; Mammalia; Chiroptera; Molossidae.